UGAGAACUAGCAGCAUAAAAACUGAGGAUAAGACAAACAGCAGCAACGGAUCCAGUCAUAAUGUGGUCAGGUAGCAGGAAGCACAUUUAUCCUUUGAGCAGUACAAGAGGAGGAGGAGGACUGAGGCAUUUGUCUUGGCAGGAGGCCCAUGAGAAAGUGAAGGGCCAAUGAAAGGUCUGAGGCAAGAUGGAAGACUGAAGAGAGAGAGCUGUCCUGUGAAGAUGCUCUGUUUUUGAAUUACUUAGGCCAAGAAAUGGAGGCAAACCACUUUGCUUACCUGGUCCAAACACAGAAGAAGGAAUAUUUAAAAGGACAUGAGGAGGGCAGACUCUCACAGGCAAAUCUUACCUUUUUCUCUGGAGCAAUAAAAACUGCUGUAGAAAGAGGACUUUGGAUGUAAGGAGUGUAAUAUACUCAAAAAAUGAAGAGGAACUUAGCAGUUUUCCUGAAUUUAGUGCUUAGUCCUGUGGAUUUCAGCUGCGAUCAGAUGAUGGAAACAAAUCUCAAGACAAGAUGAAGGACACUAAAUGUGGAGUUAUGCAUUUUGCCGAAGAGAAGAGGCUAUUUUGAUGGGAUGUUUAAUAGAAAUUUCUUCCUGGAAUCAUUCAACUGGCUGCUCACUCCAAACAGCCCAGAGGCUUUUUAUAUUUGACCUAAAUGUCUGGAUUUUUUCUCUUUUCUUCAGCAUAUCACAGAACAGAAAUCUGUAAGCUGAUUAUUGUUGCUUAAUUCUCUUCUGAAUGCAAACAUCUUUGCAUAUUUCAGACACUGCUAUAUAGAGCUGAAAUCAGAAAAGCUGAAAGAGCUUGAGAGCUCAAUCUAAAUCCCAACUGUCUGGCUCUCUGGCCAAUGCCUGGUAUUAUACAAAGUGUGUAACCAUCCUACACCUUUGAUGUAAAACAACUCUCUUUUAAUGUGCUGUACUCUCUUAUUCCCUUUGUCUCUCAAAUAAUAAUCCUCUUGCUCAUGGUAAUCCUUAAAAUCACAUAUGCUCUUUAAAGCUUUUCUUUUGGAAAGUAUUCACACCCAUUUUUCUGGGCACUGGCAACUAAAUAUUACAGACAACCUGAUUCUUCUGACUUUGACCAAGACAAUUGGAAUUUUUUGUAUUCCACAUUUACUGCUUGGCUGGAACUGGGUCAACAAAAUGAGCAAACAGUUUCUAGUUGUCCAACAGAA
Melospiza melodia melodia is the source of this 1179-nucleotide long non-coding RNA. RefSeq lists it as uncharacterized. NCBI's taxonomy places the organism in Eukaryota, Metazoa, Chordata, Aves, Passeriformes, Passerellidae. The transcript is spliced from 4 exons. The record is from RefSeq and is a predicted model, not a curated record.